This 270-nucleotide long non-coding RNA is filed under the name Salvia miltiorrhiza (redroot sage). RNAcentral's name for it is "long non-coding RNA (SMIL_LNC013866)". The record is from RNAcentral. Lineage: Eukaryota; Viridiplantae; Streptophyta; Magnoliopsida; Lamiales; Lamiaceae.
UUUAUUAUUUAUGUCGUUAAUCCAUCAAGGCUAAUCGUGCUUGACCUACGUCACUACCAAGAUGAGUGAUCCACUGGGAAGUUACCAAAGUAUAUACAAUUAAAAUUGAAGAUAAAAUCCCUACAAUAAAAAUUAAUAAAAUAAAAUUAAAAACAAAACAAUAAUUCAAUCCUUCAACCCUAUGCAUACUCUCCUUUUCUUCAACCCUCAUCUUCUCCAUCUCCCAGCCUCCUUCACUUCUCCGUCUCCCUCCCACUGGCGUCUUCCUCU